GAUGAACGCUGGCGGCGUGCCUAACACAUGCAAGUCGAGCGAACGGACGAGAAGCUUGCUUCUCUGAUGUUAGCGGCGGACGGGUGAGUAACACGUGGAUAACCUACCUAUAAUACUGGGAUAACUUCGGGAAACCGGAGCUAAUACCGGAUAAUAUCUUGAACCGCAUGGUUCAAUAGUGAAAGACGGUCUUGCUGUCACUUAUAGAUGGAUCCGCGCUGCAUUAGAUAGUUGGUAAGGUAACGGCUUACCAAGGCUACGAUGCAUAGCCGACCUGAGAGAGUGAUCGGCCGCACGGGAGCGUGAACGGGGUCCAGGCGCCUACGGGAGGGAGCAGUAGGGUAUCUGCCGCAGUGGGCGAAAGCAUGGCGGAGCAACGCCGCGUGAGUGAUGGAGGUCUUCGGAUCGUGAAGCUCUGUUAUUAGGGGAAAACAUAUGUGUAAGUAGCUGUACACAUCUUGACGGUACCUAAUCAGAAAGCCACGGCUAACUACGUG
RNAcentral lists this ribosomal RNA (497 nucleotides) under uncultured bacterium. RNAcentral describes it as "partial 16S ribosomal RNA". It matches the Rfam family "Bacterial small subunit ribosomal RNA", at positions 28 to 507 of the family's 1533-position model. The record is from RNAcentral.